This 651-nucleotide long non-coding RNA is filed under the name Pogona vitticeps (central bearded dragon). RNAcentral's name for it is "lncRNA (ENSPVIG00000022601.1)". Lineage: Eukaryota; Metazoa; Chordata; Lepidosauria; Squamata; Agamidae. The record is from RNAcentral.
UUUAUUCUAGGGGCGCCCGCUAGCGCUGCCAAGCGAAGCCCCGUAAGGCUCCCCGGGACUGACCAGCCGCCCAGCCAUGCUCCCCGGGACUGACCAGUGGCUGGACCGUUUGCACGAAGGAGCCUCCCCUCCAACCCCGCCGCCUCCUCCUCCUCCUCCUCGCCGUUUCCCUCUGGCGAGCGCCAAUGAUGAGAGAGAGGAAGAACCAACCAUCACGGAGCAGUCUUAUGGUGAAAGGUAUAAGUACCCCAACAUUCUUUAAAGCAAGAUAGAAACCAGAGAAUUAUGUAAGUAUCAGGAGUUGCCAUACAUACACAGACCUUGAAAUUGUUCCUCUCUCUUUUUUCUUUACUACAAAUUGAAUUCUCUAGCCAGCAUGACAGUAGCCUCACUUUUCCUUCUGAAGGGAUGAGCAACUUGGGUCCUCUAGAUCACUGGUGGACCGCUUCUCCAGUUAUUCUUCUUUAGUCGUUAUGGAGGUUAGGGAUGAAAAAAGCUUUGGCCUAUCAAUAUCUAAAAGGCCACAGAUUUUGAUUCAUUCAUCCCCAUGUCAUCACUAGACAUAGGGAUGAAUGAUAAAACAAAUCAAGAUAUUUGUGAAAUAUCCCUGAUUCAUGGGAACAGAGACCCCAACGAAUAUGAAAGGAUGAA